CUGGGCAAGUGAAAGGACCUCUCGGAGUCUCCGUGCCCUCAUCUGUAAAAUGAAGCCAACAAGAGCAAUUACCACGUGGGAUUGUCCUGAGAAGUAAAGGAGGUUAAUGUUCCUCAUCGCCUGAGGCCCGGUUGCAGUCUUUAAACCUGUUGUUUCAUGCACGGUGUCACGUUUGCUUUGUUGGUUUGAGACAGGAGUGUAGAAUCUAGUCCCUGUUACUCUUCACCUUGAGCGGAAGCCAGCGUUCCUUCCUUUGUUUUCUUGACUUGGGAUUUUAAGUAGUCUCCGAAGAAGGUCAAAAGCAAGAGCCCAGAGCCAUGGCCUGCCUCUCUGGUGCAGGUGAAGUUUAAUAAUAAAGGAAUCUCAUAAAAUAGGGUUUCCCUCAUGGCUCAGCCAUAAGGAAUCCGACUGCAAUGCAAGAGACACAGGAGAUGCCAGUUUGGUUCCUGGGUCAGGAAGAUCCCCUGGAGGAGGGCAUGGCAACCCACUCCAGUAUUCUUGCCUGGAGAAUCCCAUGGACAGAGGAGCCUGGCAGGCUACAGUCCACAGGGUUGCAAAGAGUUAGACAGGACUGAAGCGACUGAGCACGCAUGCAU
Molecule: long non-coding RNA, 596 nt
Organism: Bos taurus (domestic cattle)
Lineage: Eukaryota; Metazoa; Chordata; Mammalia; Artiodactyla; Bovidae
Source: Ensembl